AACCCACUCUGUCCGUACAACAAAAGAUGUCUCAACUUUAACUAAAUUUAAAUGCAUCUAUAUACUAAGUCAUGUCUAGAUACAUUUAAAUUUUGUCAAACUUGAGACAUCUUUUGUUGGACCGAGGGAGUAAUUA
Molecule: non-coding RNA, 136 nt
Organism: Brachypodium distachyon (stiff brome)
Lineage: Eukaryota; Viridiplantae; Streptophyta; Magnoliopsida; Poales; Poaceae
Source: Rfam